ACGUGGGGCUCCGGCCCCGCCGAGAUAGAACCCUUGCCUUUUCGAGUACCAAAACGUUUCCUCGGCGGGCUUGCCCGCCAACGGGGACACAAACAAACCCUUGAAUCACCAGUCACAGUCUGAGAAAACAAACAAAAAUCA
Molecule: unclassified non-coding RNA, 141 nt
Filed under: uncultured Ascomycota
Lineage: Eukaryota; Fungi; Ascomycota
Description: sequence contains ITS1
Source: RNAcentral